GGGCACAACAUGAAGACCCUCACAGUCACCUUCCCCAUCUCCACCCUCUGGUAUUCAUCAGACAGGAGCAGUGGCUCAGCCACGUUCAACUCCAUUGAGAGGGUCCUGCAGAGCCUUCUGGAUCCUUGUUCAAGAGGAGCAGCCUGGGUCCCUUAUACUCGAGUUGCAGACUGGUCUCCCUCAGGCCUGAGAAGGAUGGGGCAGCCACCAGUGUGACGCCGUCUGCACCCACCACCCUGAUCCCGUGGGCCACCAUGCCUCUGUGCUGGGAGCGGAGAGUCUCCACCUGUCUGCUCUUCCUCUCGGUGGCUCCUGGCUCUGCAGCCCAGAGUUUAUCCAUCCAGAGAGAGCACCAGCUACAUUUCCGCAUCAUCGUCGGGAUCCUCAGCAACCUGGAGCCCACAUCCUAGGAGUACACCGCCCUGCUGAGAGACACCCAGGACCAGAGUAUUCUCCCAACAGAGAUGAUACCUUGACUCAGAAGCCUGGUAAACCUGCAGGAAGCCCCAGCCCAUGGUAGGGGGCGAGUAUCUUGAUGCUGUGCCUCAUCGAAGAGAACCAUGCACACAGGGUCUUGGAUGAUGUGGAAAGUUGGC
Diceros bicornis minor is the source of this 596-nucleotide long non-coding RNA. RefSeq lists it as uncharacterized. The transcript has 4 exons. NCBI's taxonomy places the organism in Eukaryota, Metazoa, Chordata, Mammalia, Perissodactyla, Rhinocerotidae. The record is from RefSeq and is a predicted model, not a curated record.